UACGGAGGUGGCGAGCGUUACUCGGAUUUACUGGGUGUAAAGGGCACGUAGGCGGUCCGAUAAGCCCUGUUUGAAAUGCCUGGGCUCAACCUUGGCACGUGGCAGGGGACUGACGGACUUGAGGAUGGCAGAGGUAGGCGGAAUUCCCGGUGUAAGGGUGAAAUCUGUAGAGAUCGGGAGGAACACCAGUGGCGAAAGCGGCCUACUGGGCCAUUUCUGACGCUGAGGUGCGAAAGCUAGGGGAGCAAACAGG
RNAcentral lists this ribosomal RNA (253 nucleotides) under uncultured bacterium. Its description in RNAcentral is "partial 16S ribosomal RNA". It matches the Rfam family "Bacterial small subunit ribosomal RNA", at positions 524 to 776 of the family's 1533-position model. The record is from RNAcentral.